RNAcentral lists this ribosomal RNA (209 nucleotides) under Scolytus sp. APV-2011. RNAcentral describes it as "partial large subunit ribosomal RNA". It matches the Rfam family "Bacterial large subunit ribosomal RNA", at positions 2479 to 2704 of the family's 2925-position model. Lineage: Eukaryota; Metazoa; Arthropoda; Insecta; Coleoptera; Curculionidae. The record is from RNAcentral.
AGCGUAAUCUUUUUUUAGAGUUCUAAUCGAUAGAAAGGGUUGCGACCUCGAUGUUGGAUUAAAAUUAAUUUGUGGUGCAGAAGCUACAAUAUUAAGUCUGUUCGACUUUUAAAAUUUUACAUGAUCUGAGUUUAGACCGGCGUGAGCCAGGUCGGCUUCUAUCUCGAUGAAAAAUUUUUAUCUUAGUACGAAAGGACCAGAUAAUUAAU